RNAcentral lists this unclassified non-coding RNA (338 nucleotides) under soil metagenome. Its description in RNAcentral is "partial contains 5.8S ribosomal RNA, internal transcribed spacer 2, and large subunit ribosomal RNA". The stretch from base 1 to 120 matches the Rfam family "5.8S ribosomal RNA", at positions 35 to 154 of the family's 154-position model. The record is from RNAcentral.
GAUGAAGAACGUAGUGAAAUGCGAUACGUAGUGUGAAUUGCAGAAUUCAGUGAAUCAUCGAAUCUUUGAACGCACAUUGCACCUCUCGGUAUUCCGGGAGGUAUGCCUGUUCGAGCGUCAUUUGUACCCUCAAGCUCUGCUUGGUGUUGGGUGUUUGUUCCGCCUCUGUGUGUGAACUCGCCUCAAAACAAUUGGCAGCCGGCGUACUUGUUUCGGAGCGCAGCACAUUUUGCGAUCCAGAUCAACGUACAGCGGCAUCCAAGAAGCCUUAUUUAACGCUCUUGACCUCGGAUCAGGUAGGGAUACCCGCUGAACUUAAGCAUAUCAAUAAGCGGAGA